AGGGAGAGGGCAGCUGACCGGGGUGGGGCGGGCGGACGGCGAGAUUUAGGGUGGGUGGGGGGGGGUUGAGGGAAGGUCGGCGGCUGGCCGCGAGUGAGCGUCCCCUCCCCCACGGCCCGGCACUUUUCCAUUCUCCGGCUGCGCCCCGCUUCUGCCCUCGGCCCGCCUGCUCCGCGCCCGGCCCGCUCCCUCCCUCGCCCGCUCGCGCCUCGGUGCGCGCGCCGGCCGGGGCGAGGCGGAGGGGCCCGGCCCAGGCGCCGCCGCCGCCGCCAUCUUGCGGUCCCGCGGGGGCGCCUCCCGGGUGCUGUCCGCGCCGCUGCCCGCGCCUGGCACUUGUCCUUGGCCCCCGAGGGCCGUCGGGCGUUGUCUGGGAGGGUGUGGGUGGGCGGUGACCUUAGAGCGUGCGCUCCAGUCUGCGGCGGGAAGGGGGGCUCUGGGGGUGGCGCAAGUGCGUCGGUCGCCGGCGCCGGCUGUCAGCGGCGGUGGGAGGCGAGAGGCGAGGCAGCGGUGCGGCGGCCCUGGACUCGGUUCCGAGAGAGAACCACCCUUCGGCCUCGAGCAGGGCCUGGGUGGAGCCGGCCCUCGCAGAGGGAGUUGCUGCCUCCCUUUUUACCUUGUUUAGAACUCGCUGUCGGGGGCACCUGGGUGGUUCAGUCGGUUGAGCGUCCAGCCUUCGGCUCAGGUCAUGAUCUCGAGGUUCGUGAGUUCAAGCCCCACAUCCAGACUUGAUUGCUGUUAGCCUGUCAGCGCGAGCCCGCUUCCGAUCCUGUGUCCCCCUCUCUCUGCCCCUCCUCUGCUUGCAUUCUCCCAAAAAUAAGUCAAUAUUAAAAAAUUUUUUUGUUUGAUAUGAUUGUCAAUAUACGAAAGUGCUUUUAUAAUGGUGUAACGAAUUCUACAGUAGCUCUUCUGUUGCAUUGGUUUAAUGAAAAAGAGGUAGGUAUUUUCAAAUUAUGUCGAAACCCUGGCAGUAAUUUGACACAGAAUUCAGGUUUGAAAUUUGAGGUUAACAUAUGAGAGGCUAUUUUUUUUGUCCUUAAAUUUUUUACUAUUAUGAAAUUUCUUCCUUUGUAGUAUACAUUUUGUUUUUCCUACUUACUAGUAGUUUUGGAGAAAAGUUGGAAGAAGGAAAUUUAGAAAAUGCUAAAAUAAAUUGUGAACAUAUUCUUCCUACUAAUAAUCCGAGAAAGGAAAAUAGAGCAAAACCGUUGUGUUGAAGGUGGCCCGUCACAAUAUCAUGCCAAUAAAGAAAAUUAAGCUUUCUGAGGACCCCAGGAACCUGUGGUGUGUCAGCCAGAGCAUCUUUGAGUAGCACGUUACUAAGAAGUACAAAUGAGGAUAGAGAGUACUUUUGCUCUUGGCAGAUACUUGGCACAUUUUUAGGUGUUUCGCAUCAGCUCCUAUUUCACAGUGGCUGCAUCAGAUCCCUGAGGUGAUUUCCCCCCUUUCCUGGGCCACGGAUGACGUCUUACUACUCCAUUCCUUAAAAGCUUUCAAGUAGCUCUUGAUUGCCCACUGGAUAAAAGUCUGAUUUUUUUUUUUUUUUUUAGUGUGGCAUUUAAGCCCUUCCAUUUUGUGCUGUCUUCUCUUGUAACACCUGCUCAUCUGCACACAUCCAUACUUUCUUGCCUGAGAAAGAAAAACCCUCCUCAUAUCCAAGCUUGUUUGUUCUGCUGUUUUUGUUAAGGUAAAAUCCCUCAUGACUCAACGCUUAGACCAUGUUCCCUCAGAUAUUUUCCCUCUCAUGUUUUCAACCACUGGGUUCUUCUUUUAAACAUAUAAAUACACUUAAUUUUUUCAUUUUAAAAAGAAGCAAACAAAAUAUUUCUUUGACUCCCAAGUCCUUCUGGUACAUGUCCCUCCCUGUCCCUCAUUUCCUUUGCAGUCAAACUUCUUGGAAAAAUAGUCCAUGUUCAUUCACUAUCUGUCCUGUAUCUCACCUCCUGUUCACUGUAGUACUACUCUCUCCUCACUGCUUAUUGAUUGCCGACCACAUUGAUCAUUUCCAAUUUUUAUCUCUCUUUGGCACUUGACAUUGUCGGCAUUUCCACUUUUUAAACAAUUGUUUUCACUUCCAUAUACUUCUAAUUUUCUAAUUUGCUCCCUUUAUUGUCUCAUUUGUGGGCUUUUUAAAUGCUAAUGUUUCUGAGGUUCUGAUUUGUUUGUUUUAUCUCUAAACUUUCCUUGUUCAGUCUCAUUGUUUUGAUGGCUUCUCUUUCUUUUCCUUGCUCUCUUUGCACAUGUUGGUACACACUCAAAUUUGUAUUUUUUUUUUAAUGUUUAUUUGUUUAAUUUUGAGAGAGAGAGCGCACAAGCCAGGAAAAUGGCAGAGAGAGAGAAGGAGGCAGAGAAUCCAAAGCAGGCUCUAGGCCUGAGCUGUCAGCACAGAAGCCAGACAGGGGGCUCGAACUCAUGAACCCUGAGAUCAUGACCUGAGCUGAAGUUGGGUGCUUAACCGACUGAGCCACCCAGGUGUCCCUCAAAUUUGUAUUUUAAUUGGGACAUUGUUGUCAGUUUUAGAAUUACUUAGUGACUAUCUGGAUUUGAGUUGUAACUCAGACACUUCAAACUCAGCAUAUCCCAAACAGGUGUUUUUUUUUUUUGUUUGUUUUUUACAACCCAAGCCCGUGCGUCUUCCCAUCUUUUUAAUAUUUUGGUGGCAUCGUGAUUACUCAUACAGAAAUACUCUGUAUGUCUACUAAUUAAAAUCUGUAUUUCUGCAUCCCAGGGAUAAUUCUUGAAUCUGUACCCUUUAAUGAAGCUUUAUUUUUAAAUUUACUUAUUUUAAUUUGUUUAUACAAUAAAGAUUUGACUUUCUGCUCUAUGUAGUAAGUGUUGAAUAAGUGUUAGAAUUACAGUUUGAGUAAAAUACAAUCUUUGUUUUCAUGAGGCAGUUGUAAUGGGAGAGAUAGACACUAACUGCCUAAUUAGAAGAAGGAAAUGUAACUAUGAAGAGGAGUGUAGUGCUAUCAAAAUGUAAAAAAUGGGGGCGCGUGGGUGGCUCAGCCAGUUAAGCGUCUGCCUUCGGCUCAGGUCAUGAUCUCACAAUUCAUGGGUUCGAGCCCUGCACUGGGCUCUAUGCUGACAGCUCAGAGCUUGGAGCCUGCUUUGGAUUCUGUGUCUCCAUCUCUCUCUGCCCCUCCCCUGCUUGCGCGCUGUCUCUCUCUCUCAAAAGUGAAUAAACAUUAAAAAAAAAAAAAUUAAAAAAAAGAAAUAUCUUCCUGGUCAGGGAAGACACAAUUGGAUUAAGAUUUUCUAAUAUGAGUAGAAGCUAUUAACCUAGGUGAAAAAGAAAGAAAAAUACAGUGGAAGCAACAUGUGUUUACAAAGAUCCUGUGGCAGGAGGGAACAUGAAGCGUUUACUGUUACUUAACCUGUUAAAGUAAUAUCUCAUGUUAUUUACAAGCCUGAGUCAGUGUAACAGUAGUGGAGACAGCCAAGGUGAGUGUGGUGCUGGUUUGUAGGUUGACUAAAGAGUUUUGUUUUUAUCCUAGCCCACUGAGAGAUUUAAGUGGGUGGAAUGGUAGAAAUAGAGGGAAUGGAGUGAUAAUCACAUUUGUAUUUAAAAAAAGCCAUAAUUCUGGGGGCGCCUGGGUGGGUCAGUUGGUUAAAUGUCCAUGGUUUAGGCUCAGGUCAUGAUCUCACAGUUUCAUGGGUUCCAUGCUGACAGUGCUGAGCCUGCUGGGGAUUCUCUGUCUUCUCUCUCUGUUCCUCCCCCAUUCACACGGUCUCUGCUUCUCUCUAAAUAAAUAAAUACAUACAUACAUACAUACAUACAUACUUGUGGUAACGUAAAGUAGUAUUAGAAGGGAGAUAGAGAUGAAUUAGUUUCCUCAGUCCAGGCAAGAGGUGACUACUUGAUUUGAGGGACUGGUAUUAGAGAUGGUGAAAAGUUCAGGAGGAUCAAGCCAGUGAAACUUGGUCUAUUAGAUAUGCUCACAGAGAGUACAGGUAUCUUGGCCGUCUCUGAGAUUCCUCGCUUAUGUAACUGGAGGAAUGGUGGUGCUGUGUGCUGAGCUAAAAAAGGAAACACUGGAGGGGCGCCUGGGUGGCUCAGUCGGUUAAGGGUCUGACUUUGGCCCAGGUCAUGAUCUCACAGUCCAUGAGUUCGAACCCCACGUUGGGCUCUGUGCCAACAGGUCAGAGCCUGGAGCCUGCUUCAGAUUCUGUGUCUCCCCUCUCUCUCCCUCUGCCCCUUCCCUGCUCACGAUCUGUCUCUCUCAAAAAUAUUUUAAAAAAAUUAAAAAAAAAGAAACCGUGGAUAUUUGAAUGAGGACCAUGUGCAUUUUACUUGGGGUUGUGGGAGAGUGGUAGGAUGAGGAUCCUCAUCUCAUUAGGUAUGUUAGAUGUGUUUAGGACCCUCCAAGAUAUUAAUGAAAAGGUAACUGGUAGGUUUUGGUUAUAUGGAUGUGUUUUUCAGGGAGAAGUCUGGGCUUUGGGGAAUUAUUUAUUUCAGGUGAUUAUCUCUUGUCUUUUCUCUACUAGUCUGUAAACAGACCUGCUUUUCUCUAGUGUCUCUCUCUUUAGCCACACUGCUGCUAGAACUACCCUUUGCAAAAUGCAAACCUCAUAUUCUUGCUCCCUUGGUUAAUAAAGAACCUGGCAUAUUUUCCCAUUAUGUAGAUGAAAAAGUCCAGAAUCCACUGCCUGCCACCCCAUUUCUCUUCUACACAUAGCUUUAGGUUAUAUGAAACCAUUUUCCCAAACACUUUAAGCUGUUGCAAGACUUUGCACAUGCUCUGUCCGGAAUAUUAUUCUCCCUCAUAUCUGACAAGGAGUCUCCAAGAAUCUCUUCCUUUUGUGAAGUCUUGGAUUCUUGCAGUCCAAGUUGGUCACUGCUUUCUUCAGGCCACUAUUGAAGCCUGUGCUUAUCUGUGAUAAUCAGCACUUACAUACCACAUAACACAGUAUUUAUAUUUACGUAUUUUUUCUCUCCCAAACUUUAGGUUAACUACUUGAGGAUAUAUUUAUUUCUUUUAUUUUUACAUCCAUGGUAACAGGAUCUGGCAUGGGUGAUUGCCCAAUAAAGUUGAUGUAUGGAUAGGACUCCAGUGGUUUCUCCUAUAAUUCCCAUGUUUUUCGUCUUGGAUCUUUUUUCUGUAGGGUUUUUCAUCUGCCUUUGCAGGUAGUUGUGGUUUUAAAAUUUUUUAGUUUCGGGAAAGGGAUAAUAGGGUAUUUUGUUAAAAGCUGACUAACCAUAGAUUUUUUUUUCUUUUUUGUGCUUCACCUUUUUCAUUUGUGGAGUGACAGGCAGGAUUAGGUGAUUUCCUGGGUGUUCUGGCCCUAAGGAUUUUGAAUAUGUGUGACAUCUGAGAACAAAAAGAAAACACGAUUUUUCAGUAAAGUAGACAAAUAAUAUACAGUAAAACAUUGGUUUGUGAGCAUAAUUUGUUCCGGAAACCUGCUGUAAUUCAAAGCUCUCGUAUAUCAAAGCAAAUUUAACCAUUGGCUCAGUUGUGAUCAUGUGAUGUUCGGCAUCAUGUACUACUCGUAUCGCAAUAUAUCACUCAUUUAUCAAGUUGAAAUUUAUUGAAAAUGUUUGCUUGUCUUGCGGAACACUUGCAGACCAAGUUACCCACAAUCCAGGGUUUUAUAGUGUAAGGAAUUGGGAAAACUUGAGUUAUACUUCAGAGUUUAAUAUUUUCUGAUUGUCAGUAUUGGUAAUUUUCUUAUUGGUUUACUGCAUUAGUUACCUUUUAUUAAUUUUAUAUUUUAGACUGAAAGCGAGCAGGGGAGGGGUAAAGGGAGAGAGAGAGAGAGAAUCUUCAAGCAGGCUCCACAUCCAGUACAGAGGCCCAGUGUGGAACCUGUGGGGCUUGAUCUCACUACAUUCAGAUCAUGACCUGAGCUGAAAUCUAGUCAGAUGCAUAAUGGACUGAGCCACCCAGGUGCCCCUGUAUUAGUUACCUUUUAAUUUCCUUUAAGUAAGUCCAUCCUUUACCAUGCAGAGAUGUUCUGUGAAGAGAGUUUAGUAAGCACCCUUUUAUUUUUUUAGACGCACUUCCUGAUCUUUUUCUUGUGCUUUUGUAUCUUAACCUGGAUAGAUUCAUUGAAGUCUUAUCUGCCUUUCAGAGGAGAAAGUGGUUAAUACAGGAUGGAUCCUCAACCUUAAAAAGUUGUUUUAGAAGAAAAUUAAAUGUAAGAAGGGAGCUAUUGUAUGCAAAUCCUUGUUUAUUAUAACUGAAAUGGGACACAGAUUACUAGAUAAAAAGUUUAAAACUUCUUAUGAAAGCUUUCAAACAUUCGUAAAAGCAUAAUGAACUUUUAUAUACUUAAAUUUCAUAUACUUAAGUUUAAUGAUUAUUAGCAUUUUAUAUUUGUUUAGUUUUUGUUUGCUGUGUAUUUUUUUUUUUUAAUGUUUAUUUUCGAGAGAGAGGGAGAGAGAGACAAAUCGUGAGUGGCAGAGGGACAGAGAGAGGGAGACAUAGGAUCCAAAGCAGGCUCCAGGCUCUGAGGUGUCAGCACAGAGCCCUAGGUGGGGCUCGAACUCACGAACUGUGAGAUCAUUACCUGAGCCGAAGUUGGACGCUUAACCUACUGAGCCAUCCAGGCGCCCCAGCUGCUGUAUAGAUUCUGGAUAACGACAUUUCAAACCGAAAUACUUGAGUUUGCUUUUCUAAUAAACAGACAUUUUCUUUACAUAGUUGUGAUGUCAUUAUCUUAAAACCAAAAAUAAUUAUUUAACAUCAUCUAAUAUUUAACCUGUUGAAGAUUUCCCCAAUUGUAUGUACUUCUGUUUUUUAUUUUUUAAAGUUUAUUUAUUUUGAGAGAGAGAAAGCGAGCAGGGUACGGACAGAAAGAGGGAGAGAAAGAGAAUCCUAAGCAGGCUCUGCACUGUCAAUGUAUAGUCUGAAGUAGGCUCAAACUCAGGAAUGGUGAGAUCAUGACCUCAGCUGAUGCUUAAGUGUCUGAGCCACCCGGUCUCCCUUGUAUGUCUGUUUUUUAGCUGGUUUGUUCAGCUUACGCAUUGCAUUUGUUUGUCGUGUAUCCGAGUCUUAAUUUUAAACACUGCUUCCCCCACUUUUUUUUUUUUUUUUAAUCAUACUCUUGUUGAGAAGAUCAGGUGGUUGAAUUGUCAAAUAGUCUAGGUAUGUGUGGGAUGUCUUUCCUGUAAAUUUGGAUUUAGAUUUGAGGGCUUGAUUAGAUUUAGGUCAGUAUUUGGUGGUAAAAAUAAUUCAUGGAUGGAAUUGUGUCACAUCAGGGAUAGACAGUGUCUGGUUUUCCCAGUUUUAGUGAUGUUGAUUGGUGGUAACAGCCUUACUUCCACAUUAAAAAGUUGCAUAAAUAUGAGCCUGUUUAUGGUAAUAUGUGCAAGAAAAAAGAUUGGAAAGAAAAUAUUAACAAGUCAUUGGCUCUACUUUAGGAUGUGAGUGUCUUUUGUAUUUUUACUUUUCUGUUUUCCAGGACUUCUACAGUGAACUCUUUUUUUAUACAGUGAACUCUUUUUUUUAUAAGAGAGAAAAACUUAAAAUUGUUUUGUUACUAGAUAGCUUCGGAAGAUGAGAUCAGAAGGUUUUCAUUUGUCCCUCCUGUAUUGUUUUGUUUAAUUUUUAAUUAAUAUUUUAAGUGUUAACAGUCUGAGGUCUUAAUUUUUUUUAAUAAUAGGGCAAGUUAUAGAAAGAUAAAUAGAAAACAAGUCCAAUGUUUGCAACCUUCCAGUAACAGAUCACAAAUCAAGGUAUAUAAAGACAAAUAGAAAACCAUGAUUAUCUCAAAGUAGAUCUUAUUUAUAUAUCUAAAUCUAAUUUGUAAAUCAUAACUAUAUAAAUGUGUCGUUUCUUUGAGCUCUUGCUAUUGGCAUCAAUUGAUGGUCUCUUGUAAGAAGUAUGACAAGUUUGUUUGGGGGUGUUUACUUCUCUGAGAAUGGCUUCUGUUUAUAGAUUCUGUUAAAGAGCCAGGUGGCUCUAAGCAGCAGAUAGAUUUUUAGGAUCCCUCUUCCCCCAGUGUUGAUUGUUUCAUGGUGAGCACCUAACCCAGGGCCAGCCAAUACAUAUGCUGAUGACUGAUUAGUCAAAAUUUUGAUGCCGCCCCUUUAAACACACUUAGUUUAGAUGCUAGGCUUUAGGUCUUUAAAGCAGGCUGAUUUGUGCCACGUUUAAGCAGAAGCAACUCCGUUGAGAGAGAAGAGGGAGAGAAAAGCAGGCCAGAGAUCUUGAAGUCCCAGGAACCAGUUUCUCUUGAAUGCAGCCUCUUCUUUUGAGGCCAGCUAUACUUCAUUUCCUGUGUCCUAGAGACUCUUUGUAUCUUUACAAUAAACUCUUAAGUGUGAUUUUUGUUCUUCAUAAUAAAUUCAUUGAUUAAACAAGAUUGGACUUCAUAAUUUGUGAAAAUAUGUUCAACUUAAUGAUUGUCCACAUACUUCACUUUGUGAAAAUAAUCUAAAACCAGUGUCUUAAAUUUUUAUGGGAAAAAGAUUCACAUAGAUGUUUUUGAAGACUUGUCAUUGAUAUGACAUAGUUUGCCUGGUUGCUUUUCACUGGCAUUUGGAAUGUUCUUAUAACUAGAGUAAUCGUGAACAUUUUGUACUGUUUUCAAAAUUCAGGUUUAAAUGAAUUAGUGUAGUUAAUGUGUAUUUUAGCUUUUUAAGGGUGUGAUUAAAUUCAGUUACCAUUUUUACAAAUAGAUAUUAACUAAAAAAGAAUUAACAUGAGAGUACUUUAAAAUACUUAGCUUGCAAUACAAUUUGUUAGGUUUCUUAUGGGCCUGCAUUUUUACAGCUUUUAUUUUGUAGCUCUGUGCUUCCAUACAUAUCCGUGUACAUACAUAUAUCCAUUUAUAUAUAUAUUUACUUUAGUACUUGGAGAAUCUGACAUGAAUUGGAGUGACUACCAUACUUUUAAAGGUAUAGGGUAUCUUUGUUUCCUGUUUAGUUUUCUCUAUUAAAAAAAUUACCUUUAUAACUUACCAGGGAAGAUGAAUCACUUGGUCUUGUUUGCUGAGUACUUUUCCCACUGCCAAAAACUUCAAUAACAGUGAAAUCCUCAGAUGUGUUUUUCUGAAUCUUUUCAGUUUUCCUCCAGCACGUUACAAAUAAAAGAUUUCAUGAACAAAUGAAACUAAUAUGUGUACAUGUUUAAAAGUCCCAUCUGAUUAUAAAAUAAGUGCUUAAUGUAGAGAAUUGAAAAAGGAUGGAAAAGUGUAAAGCAAAUAAAAAUUACUCAAUCUUACCACCUAGAAAUAAUCUCUGUUAACAUUUGAUAUAUUUCUUUUUAUAUAUUUUGUGUGUAUAAUUCUGCAUACUUAUAUUCUGUAUUUUUGUUAAUACUACCAUUUCUCAUAGUACAGAUAUUUUCAAGAAUUUUAGAUCUGUAAAUGGUGCUAAAAACAUUUAUUUUAAUUUCUCUCCAAAUAUGCAUUUUCCUUUUAUUUCCUACCAUCUUACUUAUCUAGACUUUAAAAACUUUUCUAAACUCUUCAGAUAGGGAGCACUUCUAUUUUAAUAAAGAUGUUAAAUUAAGUAGCGUGCAUCCUUUAUGUUUGGCUGUGAAUAGAAAUGUUCUCUUUCAAAUAAUUUUUUAGGUGUGUGUGCAUCUUUUCUUUAGUAGAUGGUUACACAGUGGAAGGACAUAAUUUGUAUAAAGUUACAAAUCAGAAGGAUACUUCAUUUCUGUGAAAAGAUAAUUUAUUGUUUAUGCUCUCUUUCCUGUUUUCAAGACACUGGGAUUGUUAAAGUCAGAGUGAACAGCCUAUGCAUCAAAAGGUCUGAAAAAACACUUCUAAAAUGUUUACAAUAACUUUAUGCAAAAUGUUAAUAAGGCUGUGAGAAUUUAGGAUUGAAUUAUCUGCCAUUUUACCAUGGAGUAGAAGAUAGGCAGUAGGUGAAGUUGAUCAUAAUGUCACUUUAUUUUUUUUUUAGUUUUUAAUUUUGAGAGAGAGAGAGUGCAUGAGCAGGGGAGGGGCAGAGAGAGUGGGAGACACAGAACCCGAAGCGGGCUCCAGGCUCUGAGCUGUCAGAGCCUGAUGCAGGGCUUGAACUCAUGAACCGUGAGAUCAUGAUCUGAGCCGAAGUCGGAUGCUAACCAACUGAGCCACCCUGGCGCCCCCGUAAUGUUACAUAAUUUUAAAGCCCAGAGGAGCCUUGGAAGGUCAUUCUGUCUACUAAUGACCCCUGUCUACUGCAGGGGUUAGACUGUCCUGGAGAAGUCAAGUGAUUUGGUCGGGGUCAAUCACCUGGUUAAUAGUUUUAGCUCUAAAGCCUCAAAACCAGUGUACUGUGUUACAGUUUUUAUGAAAGUCAUAGUACACCAUUGAUGACAGGAGCUAGCCCCUCCCUCUCCAAAAGGCUUCCAAAGGAACAAAGAAAAUAGAUGUUUUGACUUUUUACUUAGGUGCUUUUCCAUGUGAAGGUAAUGAGUGAGUAUUUAACUGUGUGAUCAGAACACUACUACAUUAUUUGAAAGUGGUAGAGGAGAAAUAAGACAUGGUUCCUGCUUAUUGAUGAAUUCUUUUAACUAUGAUUUUAAGACCCUAGAAUGGGAAAAUUGAUUUUUUCUUUUUGAAUGGCUACACACUUCUGUACUCAGUGUAUUUUGGAGAUUUUUUUGUGAUGCACUCUCAUCAUGUAUUCAUGAUACAUUAUUAAUGUCAGGAUCCAUAUUUUUAUAAUUAAUGUUAGUGAAACUUUAUAACAAAAUAUGUUUAGUGUUUUUAAAACCUUCUUGAAUAGCAUUGACUCAUUUUGUUUUCCAGAAAGUAGUACUCUGUUUAUUUGGACAAAAAUAUUUGUACAAUAUAGUAUUUAUUCACUACCCUCUAUGCCAGGGAUUUUUACAGCUGCUGGGAAUAUGGUAGAGAACAGAACAAAGACCCAGUCUUUGUGGACCCCACAUUCAAGUCUGAGAUUUCAAUGUGUUUGAAAAAAAAUAUAGAAAAUGAAAUAAAUUAAGGUGACUUCAUUUUUAAAAAUUCUAAAGAAAAUGUUAUAGGGCUUUCUUGGAUGUAAAACACAGGAUAUUUUCUCAGUGUUUAUGAUACUUCAGGAAAUACUCAGUUGUUGACCUGUAUAUGGGACCAAGGGAAAUAUAUCCAUUUAAAAAUCAUUAUCAUAUAUUAAUGAUUUGACUGCAGUUUCAUGCUUUAUUGCUGCAGAAAUCUGCCUGGAAUGCUUAUUAUGAAUUAGGAAGCGAUUGUAGCUAGGUAGUUUGCAUAAAAUACAUAUAGAAUUUAUGAGAGUUCAGGCUCUGGAGUCAGACCAGGUUUGACGAUCAACUUCCACUGCUUUGUAGUUUAUGACAGGUGUUUUAACUUGUUGCAGGCAAGUUAUCUGUAAAAUGGGGAUAAUAAAGUGUCUUGUUAAAGCCUAUGAGGGACAUAAUUCAUGCAAAGUUCUUGAUACAGGGUGAAGGCUCAAUAAAGGCUAGCUGUUAUAAAAAUUUUUUUGUUGUUAACACUAUUUUUACUGUUACUACUGCCAUGCUACUAUUACUGUGCGAAUUCUUAAUUGAUAUUCUGUAUACUAUACUGUAUCUACUUCACAUACAUAAUUUAGUAUGACAGGUAUUCAGUGUCAUCUUCAUGUAACUGGAAAACUGUUUAAUCAGUGAUAUAGCUAUUAAUUUGCUAAAACCUGUGGAAACAUUGAAUAAAGUGUAGUCAUCACCUGCUUUGCUGCAGCAGAAUUAUUUAUGUGUUUGAGCUGAGCAUCCAGCUUUCCUUAUUAGAAUUUUUACCGAUUCUGUUUCAAUAAAGGAAGGAUGAAGGAGUAAAAAUGUAAUGGUCAACAUAAAUGACUUAUGAAGACCUAGAGUCAUAGCAUUUGAAACAGAACAUACAUAUUUCUGACAUUUUUGUCAUUGUUGUAUGUUGAUGAAAAAGAAUUCAUGUGACUGUCCCAACGAUACUUCCAGUGUGUAUUUACUUAACAAAUAAUAUUGAACAGCUACUAUGACUUAAGGUCUGUGUUAAUUACUUCAGUUCAUUCAAGGAGGAAGUGAAUGUUUCUUUUUAGGGGAGCUUGUAGUUUUGUUGGAUAAGACAUAUAUAAAAAAGUAAGUGAGAAGUGCCAUUGAGAGGUAUAGACUAUGUAUUGUGUGAAUUGUAUGGUCAGUCAUAUUUCUCCUCCAAGAUUCAUGCUUUGGUUCAUUGCACUGUCUGUUUUUAAUCAUACAGAGGCUGCUAACUGAGUCUGUUCCUUAUAGCCAAGAACUCAGAAAGAUCUUGUCAAGAACUAAAGGGUCUAAAAAUUGAGUGUACUACAAUUUUAUGAAUAUUGGUAGAAAAGAUAUAUGUGAUCCCCGGGUUUAGAGACAAAGGACUUUAUUCUUCAUGACACUACAUACAGCACGAGCUUUAUAUUUGUGUUAAUUUCCUUUGCCUCCUCAAAGGGCAACACACAGGGGUUCAGUUUAGGCAGAUGCUGUUCCCAUAGUGGUUCUGUGUCAUAGCUGAGACUGUCCCUUGAGCGCAGGGAGCCUGAAUCUUUCCUGAUGGGCUACAUGGAAACUUACCUGACCUUUUUUCUUAGAGGAAGACCUAUUUUACUAGCCAGUAAGCAAACCUGUUCUCUCCUUAGGAAGGAGACAUUGUUUUCCAAGACUGUUCACUAUUUAAAGACAUCCUUGAGAAGAUAGUCUGGAUGAAAGCCCCAGGGCCUCCUAUUGGCAAAACAUGUAGAAAUGCUAGAGGCCAGUAGAGACUUCUCUCCUAAUAGGCCUCUGAGUAGGUCAUCUAAGUGGAAGUCACACAAUAAAUUUCAUAUAUUGGGAAAAAAAAAUAAAUGGAAGUCACAGAGUUCAUGAAUUAAUGUUCAUGUAUGUUGCCUGCUUAUUUUAAGCUUCAUCUCAGAGGCAUUUCUUUCCUUUUUCUUCUCUCUCUCUUUUUUAAUGCUUUUAUUUAUUUUUGAGAGAGGCUGGGAGGGAGGGAGGGAGGGAGAGGGCAUGAGCAGGGGAGGGGCAGAGAGAAGGAGACAACAGAAUCUGAAGCAGGCUUCAGGCUCUGAGCUGUCAGCACAGAGCCUGAUGCGGGGCUUGAACUCGUGAACUGCAAGAUCAUGGCCUGAGCUGAGUUGGAUGCUUAACCAACUGAGCCACCCAGGUGCCCCUCAGAGGCCUUUUCUGUUUCUAAAAUGCUCUAUGCUCUGUACUACUGCUUAUCAUGAAUUAAAAUUUGAUUCUUUUCAGAGUAAGCAAAUAGUGAACUCAAAUUGAUACGCAUAUUGAGGUGUUUAGUAGAAGUGAGUGUACUGAUGUCUUCAGCUUAUUUUGAAAUGCAUUAAAAAUAAGAUGGAUGGGCAGAGAGAUGAAAUAGAUAAGUCUUAAAGUAAAUACAGCAAAAUGUUAAUUGUAGAAUCUAGGCAAUGGAUAUAUGAUUGUUUACAAUGAUUUCAAUUUCUUUGUAUGAAAAUUUUCAAUACAAUGUUGGGGAAAAAGCCAACUGUUCUCUU
Acinonyx jubatus (cheetah) is the source of this 13378-nucleotide long non-coding RNA. RefSeq lists it as uncharacterized. Lineage: Eukaryota; Metazoa; Chordata; Mammalia; Carnivora; Felidae. The record is from RefSeq and is a predicted model, not a curated record. The transcript has 2 exons.